UUGUGUCUAUUGAGGAGGACAUUAUCAAAGAUAGACACAACUUUAGAAGCCAGCUAUUGGCCAACGGAUUCUGUCACGCUCGGGAGCCGUGCACCAACCUCACCAACUUUUGUACUUUUUCCAGCUGUCAUUUGUUAUCGUAUUGGCACAAAGGAUCAGGUCCCCUUACAAGAUUCCUUUGUUUGUCAAAUCAAUAAAACUAAAAAUAACAUCACUAAUGCAAUAGAGAAAGAAAAUGAUGCAAGAUCAGAGAGGGC
This 257-nucleotide long non-coding RNA is filed under the name Solanum tuberosum (potato). Its description in RNAcentral is "long non-coding RNA (STUB_LNC009109)". The record is from RNAcentral. Lineage: Eukaryota; Viridiplantae; Streptophyta; Magnoliopsida; Solanales; Solanaceae.